GGGUGAUUGGCGCAAUGGCAGCGUACGGACCUCCUACUUGAGAUGUCCGGAAAAGUCCGGGGUUGCAGGUUCGAAUCCUGCAUCACUCG
RNAcentral lists this transfer RNA (89 nucleotides) under Trichoglossum hirsutum. It matches the Rfam family "tRNA". Rfam says of the family: Transfer RNA (tRNA) molecules are approximately 80 nucleotides in length. The record is from Rfam by way of RNAcentral. Lineage: Eukaryota; Fungi; Ascomycota; Geoglossomycetes; Geoglossales; Geoglossaceae. RNAcentral also lists the same sequence under 1 other name.